Molecule: long non-coding RNA, 1575 nt
Organism: Athalia rosae (coleseed sawfly)
Lineage: Eukaryota; Metazoa; Arthropoda; Insecta; Hymenoptera; Athaliidae
Exons: 2
Source: RefSeq, a predicted model, not a curated record
UGGGCAGUGAAAUAGAUAAAAAAAAAACUUUGUGGCUCGUAUAAGGAAUAAAAAUUAUCAUUUGACUGGUUUUCUUUAUGUAAAAUGAAACGUAUAAGCUGCGCUCUGCAUGAUCAAUUCAUCUCACGUGGCGACUAGCCAAUGGUUCGCCGCUGGCCGAUGUUGCUCGUUUCGAAUAUUAUAUCAUUUGGAAUCGUGUUGUAUAAUCGUGAAUGAAACGUAUAUAAAUACGUACACGUAUCAAUUCAGAGCGUGGCGUCCAUAAAUUGUACAAAAGUAGAAGUGCCUAUAUGCUACGCCUAGAAUCAUAGAAUAGUCUCAGCGUUCAAUUAAUUCUCUCAUUUGAUGAACAUUCGGCUCAUUUUUCUUCACAGCUUUAAAUAGUCAGGAUCAGUUCGUUUCCAAGUACAUAAAUCGCCACUCUGUGCUUCGGCUAAAUGACUCUGAAAACCCUGCAGCCUAUAAACUUGGUUUCAGGAAUGCGCUACCAAAAUUCAAAUACAGUGCUAGUUUCAACCGUUAUACCAAUUCAAAAAUAGCGGAGUUUGUCUUCUGUAAAUAACUUCUGGUGUAUAUAGUGCUACAAAAAGCGAUCGAUUUUGGUGCAACUGAUCGGUACAAAAUAAUGAUUUGACAUUUUUUUGACAUCAUCUGCAGCGGGAAAUCGAUUACUGCUGUCAACUUCCAGAUUAAAUAUCGUCACGUGUUCAAACACGAAUACAGCUCUUAUUUAAAUAGAUGAAUCACGGGAAGUCUCAUAAUCUUUGAACUAUCCCAAAAUAAUUAGUAGUCAUAUGUAUACAUCCGCGUUCAAUGUUUUACUCGCUAAAUUGAAAAAUUCUAUUUAUAUCCCAGAGUUAUUGCUCGUAAACUUAUCUUCAGUAUUACACCCGCAGUAUGUUCACAGAAUCAAUAACAAACUUUACUUCGACAGAAAGAAAUUUCCAUACAGAUUUUAAUUUAACGUCGCAAAUAUCUUUAUUAUAAAAGAAGAAUGAAAAAACAUAUUCCACUCGUCAGAAUAAAUACCUAUACCAUAGAUAUCCUAUACAUACAAUUUGUCUAAUUAUAAUAUCUAUGGAAUUUCAUAGGCGAUUUCACGCCAUGCACAUAAUUUUACAAAGUAUAUAAUGUUACAAUUUGCGGUUGGUAAUUAUGAAAAUUUCCGCCCGACCUGCAACAUCAAAUGUUCUGAGAAACUUUUUUUGAGAAGUCUCAUUCUUCCUAAGCAGCUGACGUAUUCAAAUUGAUCUGUUCGAAAACAGUCUUUGAGUAGUGGAAGAGGUGAGCUUGUAGCAAUGUAGUUGCUCCUAAAAAUAAAAAAAUCAAUUCUGCCUAUGCUGUUUGAACGUAAUAAUGUGAGAUGUAACGUAAAACAUGUAUAUUUAUCUUAUUAUACAUGUGUAUUUACACGUGACGCUAUCUUCCCUGCAACUCGCUAAUUGUCAUGUGACGCGAUAUUAUACGAGCAUUAUACUCACGCUGCAGGGUAUCAUUUAGCUAUACUUCUUUUUUUCGCUCGCCAGAAAACAAAUAUGAUAUAAUGUAAAUAAAUUGUGAAGGCUAUAAAUACAA